UAGCAGUUAACAAGAGCCACCCUGCUAGGUUUUUCAGUUCCUAGUGAAAACUCUUCAGGGCUGGAAGUAGAAUUUUCUCAAUUGAGAGCUCUUGCCUUGGAAAUGGCUCCAUUUGGGAGUUUGCUGGAACCACAGCUAAGACUAAUGAGCUUCAAGGCGUGAUGUAUGAAAGGGGCUUACAAAGUUGGAGCUACCAGUGGAUGAAUUUAAUUCCCGCUCAUUCCAAAUCAGGGCUACGAAAGCUUCGGCCCAACUUGGGUGAGGGGCCACAGUGAUGCAGGCAAUUGGGUGAUGGCAUUCAAAUGCAUACAGGAUGUAGGGGAGACCCCAGCCCCCCCCAAUGAUGGCGAAGAAGGGCAGCACUGCCCCAGCAGCAGGAUGGCUAGGACUCAGCUGGGGAUGAUGUGGAAAUGAUGAUGAUCUGCACUGUACAAUUUAUUGCUGGUUACUCCCAGAUAUUUUAAGUGAAUAAAUUUGUGGCCUAAUUAAACCA
This is a non-coding RNA of Chelonoidis abingdonii (Abingdon island giant tortoise), 493 nucleotides long. Lineage: Eukaryota; Metazoa; Chordata; Testudines; Testudinidae. The record is from RefSeq and is a predicted model, not a curated record.